GAAGAAGAAGAAUUUAAAAAAUACAAAAUGUCAAAUUUAGUUUUUUGACAUGUAUAAAAUUCUUUGUAAUCAUCUCAGUCAAAUACUUGGAAGUACGAUAUAGAAUAGAUAUUUCGAAAUGGAUGAGCGUGUGUUUCGCUUUGUGAAGGUAGGAGCCUGCGUUAUAUUAAUUGUAACAGGAAUUAAAUUUAUAAGACGUUUAUAAAAUGAUGCUAUACACUAAAGAAACAAAAAUUUAUCAAGCUGGGAGCAUGCUUUGUAUUAAUUUCAGCCGGACUUAACUUCCUAAGAAGCAUAUAAAUUUGAGCUACACACGCAGGGAAUCAAAAAUGUAAUAUUUUAUACUUGUAGAGAAAAUAAAGCUGCAUAUAAAAAA
Long non-coding RNA from Diabrotica virgifera virgifera (western corn rootworm), 376 nucleotides. RefSeq lists it as uncharacterized. Lineage: Eukaryota; Metazoa; Arthropoda; Insecta; Coleoptera; Chrysomelidae. The transcript is spliced from 3 exons. The record is from RefSeq and is a predicted model, not a curated record.